Schistosoma curassoni is the source of this 45-nucleotide non-coding RNA. The record is from Rfam. NCBI's taxonomy places the organism in Eukaryota, Metazoa, Platyhelminthes, Trematoda, Strigeidida, Schistosomatidae.
AUCCAGCUGACGAGUCCCAAAUAGAACGGAACGCGUGUUCUGGAU